This 584-nucleotide ribosomal RNA is filed under the name uncultured bacterium. RNAcentral describes it as "bacterial SSU rRNA". It matches the Rfam family "Bacterial small subunit ribosomal RNA", at positions 61 to 639 of the family's 1533-position model. The record is from RNAcentral.
GUCGAACGAGAAGGUGUAGCAAUACACUUGUAAAGUGGCGAACGGGUGAGGAAUACAUGGGUGACCUACCCUCGAGUGGGGAAUAACCAGCCGAAAGGUUGGCUAAUACCGCAUACGAUUCCCGGUUUGCGGAUCGGGAAGGAAAGCGAUGCUGUGAGUAUCGCGCUCAAGGAUGGGCUCAUGUCCUAUCAGCUUGUUGGUGAGGUAACGGCUCACCAAGGCUUCGACGGGUAGCUGGUCUGAGAGGACGAUCAGCCACACUGGCACUGCGACACGGGCCAGACUCCUACGGGAGGCAGCAGUAAGGAAUAUUGCGCAAUGGGCGAAAGCCUGACGCAGCGACGCCGCGUGGGGGAUGAAGGUCUUCGGAUUGUAAACCCCUUUCGGGAGGGAAGAUGGAAUGGGUAACCAUUCGGACGGUACCUCCAGAAGCAGCCACGGCUAACUUCGUGCCAGCAGCCGCGGUAAUACGAAGGUGGCAAGCGUUGUUCGGAUUCACUGGGCGUACAGGGAGCGUAGGCGGUUGGGUAAGCCCUCCGUGAAAUCUCCGGGCCCAACCCGGAAAGUGCAGAGGGGACUGCUCG